This 103-nucleotide microRNA precursor is filed under the name Marmota monax (woodchuck). Lineage: Eukaryota; Metazoa; Chordata; Mammalia; Rodentia; Sciuridae. The record is from RNAcentral.
AGCGGAAUUGCUGGAUCAUAUGGGUAUUUCUAUUUUUAAUUUUUUGAGGAAUGUCCAUACUGUUUCCAUAAUGGGUAUCCUAAUUUGCAUUCCCAUCAACGGU